Non-coding RNA from Schistocerca gregaria, 74 nucleotides. NCBI's taxonomy places the organism in Eukaryota, Metazoa, Arthropoda, Insecta, Orthoptera, Acrididae. The record is from the annotation of a RefSeq genome assembly.
GUCCAGAUGGCGCAGUGGUUUACGCAACUGUCUAGCAAGCAGGAGAUCCCAGGUUCGAAUCCUGGUCUAGCACA